GUCGAACGGCAGCACGGAGCUUGCUCUGGUGGCGAGUGGCGAACGGGUGAGUAAUAUAUCGGAACGUACCCUGGAGUGGGGGAUAACGUAGCGAAAGUUACGCUAAUACCGCAUACGAUCUACGGAUGAAAGUGGGGGAUCGCAAGACCUCAUGCUCGUGGAGCGGCCGAUAUCUGAUUAGCUAGUUGGUAGGGUAAAAGCCUACCAAGGCAUCGAUCAGUAGCUGGUCUGAGAGGACGACCAGCCACACUGGAACUGAGACACGGUCCAGACUCCUACGGGAGGCAGCAGUGGGGAAUUUUGGACAAUGGGCGAAAGCCUGAUCCAGCAAUGCCGCGUGAGUGAAGAAGGCCUUCGGGUUGUAAAGCUCUUUUGUCAGGGAAGAAACGGUGAGGGCUAAUAUCCCUUGCUAAUGACGGUACCUGAAGAAUAAGCACCGGCUAACUACGUGCCAGCAGCCGCGGUAAUACGUAGGGUGCAAGCGUUAAUCGGAAUUACUGGGCGUAAAGCGUGCGCCAGGCCGUUUUGUAAGUCUGAUGUGAAAUUCCCCGGGGCUCAACCUGGGAAUUGCAUUGGAGACUUGCAGGCUAGAAUCUGGCAGAGGGGGGUAG
This 611-nucleotide ribosomal RNA is filed under the name uncultured bacterium. RNAcentral's name for it is "bacterial SSU rRNA". It matches the Rfam family "Bacterial small subunit ribosomal RNA", at positions 61 to 664 of the family's 1533-position model. The record is from RNAcentral.